RNAcentral lists this ribosomal RNA (655 nucleotides) under uncultured Glomus. Its description in RNAcentral is "SSU rRNA". It matches the Rfam family "Eukaryotic small subunit ribosomal RNA", at positions 357 to 1016 of the family's 1831-position model. Lineage: Eukaryota; Fungi; Glomeromycota; Glomeromycetes; Glomerales; Glomeraceae. The record is from RNAcentral.
GGGUAACGGGGUGUUAGGGCACGACACCGGAGAGGGAGCCUGAGAAACGGCUACCACAUCCAAGGAUGGCAGCAGGCGCGCAAAUUACCCAAUCCCGACACGGGGAGGUAGUGACAAUAAAUAACAAUACGGGGUCCUUUCGGGUUUCGUAAUUGGAAUGAGUACAAUUUAAAUCUCUUAACGAGGAACAAUUGGAGGGCAAGUCUGGUGCCAGCAGACGCGGUAAUUCCAGCUCCAAUAGCGUAUAUUAAAGUUGUUGCAGUUAAAAAGCUCGUAGUUGAAUUUCGGGAUUAGUGCGCCGGUCGUGCCUUCGGUAUGUACUGGUGUUACUGGUUCCUACCUUCUGACGAACCGUCAUGUCAUUAAUUUGGUGUGGCGGGGAAUCAGGACUGUUACUUUGAAAAAAUUAGAGUGUUUAAAGCAGGCUCGCGCUUGAAUACAUUAGCAUGGAAUAAUGAAAUAGGACGUUCGAUCUUAUUUUGUUGGUUUCUAGGAUUGACGUAAUGAUUAAUAGGGAUAGUUGGGGGCAUUAGUAUUCAAUUGUCAGAGGUGAAAUUCUUGGAUUUAUUGAAGACUAACUACUGCGAAAGCAUUUGCCAAGGAUGUUUUCAUUAAUCAAGAACGAAAGUUAGGGGAUCGAAGACGAUCAGAUACC